This 535-nucleotide ribosomal RNA is filed under the name Lasiodiplodia pseudotheobromae. Its description in RNAcentral is "eukaryotic LSU rRNA". The stretch from base 160 to 313 matches the Rfam family "5.8S ribosomal RNA". The record is from RNAcentral. Lineage: Eukaryota; Fungi; Ascomycota; Dothideomycetes; Botryosphaeriales; Botryosphaeriaceae.
UGAACCUGCGGAAGGAUCAUUACCGAGUUUUCGGGCUUCGGCUCGACUCUCCCACCCUUUGUGAACGUACCUCUGUUGCUUUGGCGGCUCCGGCCGCCAAAGGACCUCCAAACUCCAGUCAGUAAACGCAGACGUCUGAUAAACAAGUUAAUAAACUAAAACUUUCAACAACGGAUCUCUUGGUUCUGGCAUCGAUGAAGAACGCAGCGAAAUGCGAUAAGUAAUGUGAAUUGCAGAAUUCAGUGAAUCAUCGAAUCUUUGAACGCACAUUGCGCCCCUUGGUAUUCCGGGGGGCAUGCCUGUUCGAGCGUCAUUACAACCCUCAAGCUCUGCUUGGAAUUGGGCACCGUCCUCACUGCGGACGCGCCUCAAAGACCUCGGCGGUGGCUGUUCAGCCCUCAAGCGUAGUAGAAUACACCUCGCUUUGGAGUGGUUGGCGUCGCCCGCCGGACGAACCUUCUGAACUUUUCUCAAGGUUGACCUCGGAUCAGGUAGGGAUACCCGCUGAACUUAAGCAUAUCAAUAAGCGGAGGAA